Molecule: long non-coding RNA, 1323 nt
Filed under: Solanum tuberosum (potato)
Lineage: Eukaryota; Viridiplantae; Streptophyta; Magnoliopsida; Solanales; Solanaceae
Description: long non-coding RNA (STUB_LNC005133)
Source: RNAcentral
UAUACAGCUAGUAUAUCAAUGUAUACAUGCUGUAUCUCAGCCUGCUUUCAGCUUUCCAGAACCUGUUAAUCCAAUUUCAGGCCCUAUUUGAUGCUUUCCACAUGUACACCUGCUCUCGAUGGCCUGGCUGACUCGAAUGACAAAGAAAAGAGUUUUUAUGGCUCAACUCGGAAAUGCAAAGAAGAGAAGUCCAUCAUGGACUCGGGAGGGGUUCAUACAACAAGCGAAAAGAGACAACAUUAGCAUUCGAAAUGGUGCAACAGGUACAAAAGAAAUAACCGAACAUGUCAACACACAAAGAAAAGAGAGCAAAUGGGCAGAAAAUAUAAGCCAUGAGAGAUUAUAGCUUGCGCGAGAUAAAAUUACUACACAGAAAUCCAAGACAAUCCAAAUAUACAUCACCAAAGGCAUGCUUGACAAGGAUAACAAUUCUAUACAUGUUAAUGGGAAUGCUUGAGUCGCAUAAAAAAUGAAUUAAGAAUGGACAUGCGAUGACUCUAAUCCAUACUCGAAACAAUAACUUCUAAAGCCAACAUAAUUACAGAGAAGAGGAGAGCAAACCAGUGACUUGACUAUAUGCUACACCAAGAAAGAAACAACCUAUAACAUGCUCCUAAAAUAAGACCCAACUCCUCGAUUUAGAUAAGAAUUAGCGAACUUAAACCUCGUUAAAGAUCUAACUCAAACGACUACAUUCUAAUCCAAAAAGACUCAUCUCGCACUUGUAUUAAAUCAGACCGUCAACUAGUUCAUUAUCUUCACGGAAUGGAGAGGCUUCACCUUCAAACUUUUCUAUUAACUAGUUCAAAUAAUCAUGCUACAUCUAAACAUGAAAAGCAGAUUAGCUUUCAAAAGUAGGAAUAAUACACGAGAAGUAUUUGAAUGCAUAUUUUAAUAACAUAUAUUUAGCAGGGGAUAUACAGGGAAAAAUAAUUCUAAGUACUGGAGACCAAAUGAGCAUGAAGAGAACUCACACUAAGCAAAUAAAUAAAUAAAAAAAGACAACGAGUAAGAUUAUCGUGCAAUAUACGAAUCGAUUUUAGAUGAGUAUAACGAUUUACAGUCAAAGAAUUAUAUACACCAAAACUUACAGCUUAAAUUUAAGUCAACUAAAACAACGCUAUAAGAGGUCUCAAAUUAAGACAUUAAGAACUCGAAGGACAGAAACAUACUACGAUGAAUAACACCAUGUCAAAAUAGCAAAGGCGAAAAGAGUAUUGUAAAGGGAAGAGCAUUACCUCUUCCGGGGCAGUGAGACUAGGACAAACGAGCUGAGAGUAGCGACUCUUCUAUCACGAAAUCUCAAUAUGAACAACAAGCCAA